CACGUAGGGUGCGAGCGUUGUCCGGAAUUAUUGGGCGUAAAGAGCUCGUAGGCGGUCUGUCGCGUCGAAUGUGAAAACCCGGGGCUCAACCCCGGGCCUGCAUUCGAUACGGGCAGACUAGAGUUCGGUAGGGGAGUCUGGAAUUCCUGGUGUAGCGGUGAAAUGCGCAGAUAUCGGAAGGAACACCAGUGGCGAAAGCGGCUUCCUGGUCCAGCACCGACGUUCAGGCACGAAAGCGUGGGGAGCAAACAGG
RNAcentral lists this ribosomal RNA (253 nucleotides) under uncultured bacterium. Its description in RNAcentral is "partial 16S ribosomal RNA". It matches the Rfam family "Bacterial small subunit ribosomal RNA", at positions 524 to 776 of the family's 1533-position model. The record is from RNAcentral.